RNAcentral lists this small nuclear RNA (319 nucleotides) under Callithrix jacchus (white-tufted-ear marmoset). Its description in RNAcentral is "7SK RNA". It matches the Rfam family "7SK RNA". Rfam says of the family: 7SK was discovered as an abundant small nuclear RNA in the mid-70s but a possible function has only recently been suggested. Two independent studies have found that 7SK RNA binds the CDK9/cyclin T complex (known as elongation factor P-TEFb). The record is from Rfam by way of RNAcentral. Lineage: Eukaryota; Metazoa; Chordata; Mammalia; Primates; Cebidae.
GGAUGUGAGGGCAAUGUAGCUGCAACAUCUGUCACCCCAUUGAUCGCCAGGGUUGAUUUGGCUGAUCUGGCUGGCUAGGCAAGUGUCCUCUUCCUCUCUCACUGCUCCACGUGUGUCCCUUCAGAACUGCAUGCCUUGUUGAAAAGGAUGACCAUCCCCAAUAGAGGAGGAUCAAGGUCAAGGGUAUAGGAGUAGCUGUACUCCCUUGCCAGAACCUCCAAAUAAGCUCUCAAGAACUCUUGUAACUCAAUAGUAAAAGAAAAUUACCAGUUUACAAAGUGGCCAGAGGAUUAAAAUAGACACUUAAGUAUGCUUAUUU